AGCAAACUAGAGACACGAUGAGAGAAGUAAUACAAAACAAUAACGCCUUGGAAAACAAAUAUGGCAGGAAAUAUGUAAAGUCACAAAGGGUUUAGAGAUAUAUACGAAGAUGGAACGUAGAACGGAAGAUUCUUCAGAUACUGGUACCUUUCAUUUCUAAUCUGAGAAAUAUCACAGGACUGACAAAACUACAUUAAGGACUGCACACCAGAGGACAUGCAGAAAAACAGGCCCUCCUUGUGGAACAUCGUGAAUGGAAAGCCCGCCUCCCCACGCUGGAAAUCGUUGUUACCGAGAAACGUUAAUAAUAAAGACUUGUGUCCCCCCAAAUUCCUCGAACGUCUGAGAAUAUGCCAGAGGCAAUAGACUGACCACAGAAGGGGAUUGUCCUUCAACUCUUGGUCAAAUUCCGCUUCUACACCAUGGAGGAAAUUUAUCAGAUUUUUUGUUUUUACAAAUUGUGCUUCCAAAUGUGUAUUAGCAUAAGUAUCGCUCAUCCUUUUUUUUUUUUUAAAUCAAAUUGUACUUUCAGUGAUUGCUUUUCUGGAUCCACCUCCUUUACAAGCUCAAGUACCACAAGGCUCAGCCAUAGGUCCACUGCUCUUCUCUAUCUAUAUCACUUCUCUUGGAAAACUAAUAAACUCAUCUCGAUUUGGGCAUAA
Molecule: long non-coding RNA, 662 nt
Organism: Pseudophryne corroboree (corroboree frog)
Lineage: Eukaryota; Metazoa; Chordata; Amphibia; Anura; Myobatrachidae
Exons: 2
Source: RefSeq, a predicted model, not a curated record